CCUACGGGAGGCAGCAGUGAGGAAUAUUGGUCAAUGGACGAGAGUCUGAACCAGCCAAGUAGCGUGAAGGAUGACUGCCCUAUGGGUUGUAAACUUCUUUUAUAUGGGAAUAAAACGCUCCACGUGUGGGAUUUUGUAUGUACCAUAUGAAUAAGGAUCGGCUAACUCCGUGCCAGCAGCCGCGGUAAUACGGAGGAUCCGAGCGUUAUCCGGAUUUAUUGGGUUUAAAGGGAGCGUAGGUGGAUUGUUAAGUCAGUUGUGAAAGUUUGCGGCUCAACCGUAAAAUUGCAGUUGAAACUGGCAGUCUUGAGUACAGUAGAGGUGGGCGGAAUUCGUGGUGUAGCGGUGAAAUGCUUAGAUAUCACGAAGAACUCCGAUUGCGAAGGCAGUUCACUGGACUGCAACUGACACUGAGGCUCGAAAGUGUGGGUAUCAAACAGGAUUAGAUACCCGAGUAGUC
RNAcentral lists this ribosomal RNA (460 nucleotides) under uncultured bacterium. Its description in RNAcentral is "partial 16S ribosomal RNA". It matches the Rfam family "Bacterial small subunit ribosomal RNA", at positions 338 to 795 of the family's 1533-position model. The record is from RNAcentral.